UGAGCCAUGCUUGCAUGAGCGAAUUUUUGGAUAUCGGAUAUUCUAGAGCCUUUUUCAAACAGGCUCUAGACCGUAUGAGUAAGUAGGGCGAUAGUCUGGAUUACGAAUGUGGUUGGCAGCUGUGGGAGCGCCCAUAGGCGCCAAGCAGCUGACUUUCA
Molecule: small RNA, 158 nt
Filed under: Ruminococcus sp. AF31-8BH
Lineage: Bacteria; Bacillati; Bacillota; Clostridia; Eubacteriales; Oscillospiraceae
Description: Clostridiales-1 RNA
Rfam family: Clostridiales-1 RNA
Source: Rfam by way of RNAcentral